UACGUAGGGUGCGAGCGUUAAUCGGAAUCACUGGGCGUAAAGGGCGCGUAGGCGGGAUGGCAAGUCAGUCGUGAAAUCUCUCGGCUCAACCGAGAAACGUCGGCUGAUACUGCCGUUCUUGAGGGAUGCAGAGGAGACUGGAAUUCCCGGUGUAGCGGUGAAAUGUGUAGAGAUCGGGAGGAACACCGGUGGCGAAGGCGGGUCUCUGGGCAUCUCCUGACGCUGAGGCGCGAAAGCGUGGGGAGCAAACGGG
This 253-nucleotide ribosomal RNA is filed under the name uncultured bacterium. RNAcentral's name for it is "partial 16S ribosomal RNA". It matches the Rfam family "Bacterial small subunit ribosomal RNA", at positions 524 to 776 of the family's 1533-position model. The record is from RNAcentral.